UGAUGACAUAAAAAUGUCUUCAGGUUC
Molecule: non-coding RNA, 27 nt
Filed under: Rattus norvegicus (Norway rat)
Lineage: Eukaryota; Metazoa; Chordata; Mammalia; Rodentia; Muridae
Source: RNAcentral